AGUGAACGCUGGCGGUAGGCCUAACACAUGCAAGUCGAACGGCAGCACAGGAGAGCUUGCUCUCCGGGUGGCGAGUGGCGGACGGGUGAGGAAUACAUCGGAAUCUACUUUUUCGUGGGGGAUAACGUAGGGAAACUUACGCUAAUACCGCAUACGACCUACGGGUGAAAGCAGGGGACCUUCGGGCCUUGCGCGAUUGAAUGAGCCGAUGUCGGAUUAGCUAGUUGGCGGGGUAAAGGCCCACCAAGGCGACGAUCCGUAGCUGGUCUGAGAGGAGGAUCAGCCACACUGGAACUGAGACACGGUCCAGACUCCUACGGGAGGCAGCAGUGGGGAAUAUUGGACAAUGGGCGCAAGCCUGAUCCAGCCAUACCGCGUGGGUGAAGAAGGCCUUCGGGUUGUAAAGCCCUUUUGUUGGGGAAGAAAUCCAGCCGGCUAAUACCUGGUUGGGAUGACGGUACCCAAAGAAUAAGCACCGGCUAACUUCGUGCCAGCCGCCGCCGUAA
This 506-nucleotide ribosomal RNA is filed under the name uncultured bacterium. RNAcentral's name for it is "partial 16S ribosomal RNA". It matches the Rfam family "Bacterial small subunit ribosomal RNA", at positions 29 to 523 of the family's 1533-position model. The record is from RNAcentral.